RNAcentral lists this ribosomal RNA (468 nucleotides) under uncultured bacterium. Its description in RNAcentral is "partial 16S ribosomal RNA". It matches the Rfam family "Bacterial small subunit ribosomal RNA", at positions 28 to 507 of the family's 1533-position model. The record is from RNAcentral.
GACGUACGCUGGCGGCGUGCUUAACACAUGCAAGUCGAACGGAAAGGCCCUGCUUUUGUGGGGUGCUCGAGUGGCGAACGGGUGAGUAACACGUGAGUAACCUGCCCUUGACUUUGGGAUAACUUCAGGAAACUGGGGCUAAUACCGGAUAGGAGCUCCUGCUGCAUGGUGGGGGUUGGAAAGUUUCGGCGGUUGGGGAUGGACUCGCGGCUUAUCAGCUUGUUGGUGGGGUAGUGGCUUACCAAGGCUUUGACGGGUAGCCGGCCUGAGAGGGUGACCGGCCACAUUGGGACUGAGAUACGGCCCAGACUCCUACGGGAGGCAGCAGUGGGGAAUAUUGCACAAUGGGCGGAAGCCUGAUGCAGCAACGCCGCGUGCGGGAUGACGGCCUUCGGGUUGUAAACCGCUUUCGCCUGUGACGAAGCGUGAGUGGCGGUAAUGGGUAAAGAAGCACCGGCUAACUACGUG